RNAcentral lists this transfer RNA (65 nucleotides) under Sphaerodactylus townsendi. RNAcentral describes it as "tRNA-Ser". The record is from RNAcentral. Lineage: Eukaryota; Metazoa; Chordata; Lepidosauria; Squamata; Sphaerodactylidae.
GCGCUCAGGGGUACAGCAUCUGCUUGGAAUUUAGAAGCAUCCGGGUUCGAUCCCCGCCAUCUCCA